CUAAGAAUAUUCCGCAAUGGACGGAAGUCUGACGGAGCGACGCCGCGUGGAUGACGAAGGCCGAAAGGUUGUAAAGUUCUUUUGCUGGGGAAGAAUAACCGCAGGAGGGAAUGCCUGUGGGAUGACAAGAACCGGCGAAUAAGCCCCGGCCAACUACGUGCCAGCAGCCGCGGUAACACGUAGGGGGGCGAGCGUUGUUCGGAAUUACUGGGCGUAAAGGGCAUGUAGGCGGCUUGGAAAGCCUGGCGUGAAAGUCUGCAGCUUAACUGCAGGGGUGCGCUGGGAACUGCUGAGCUUGAGUGACGGAGAGGGAGCUGGAAUUCCUGGUGUAGGGGUGAAAUCUGUAGAUAUCAGGAAGAACACCGAUGGCGAAGGCAAGCUCCUGGCCGAUGACUGACGCUGAGGUGCGAAAGUGUGGGGAUCAAACAGGAUUAGAUACCCUGGUAGUCCACACAGUCAACGAUGUGCACUAGGUGCUGGGGCGGUAGCUUCGGUGCCGGAGCGAACGUGGUAAGUGCACCGCCUGGGGAGUAUGCUCGCAAGGGUGAAACUUAAAGGAAUUGACGGGGUCAUAGCUGUUUCCU
Molecule: ribosomal RNA, 584 nt
Filed under: uncultured bacterium
Lineage: Bacteria
Description: partial 16S ribosomal RNA
Rfam family: Bacterial small subunit ribosomal RNA
Source: RNAcentral